This 450-nucleotide ribosomal RNA is filed under the name uncultured microorganism. RNAcentral's name for it is "bacterial SSU rRNA". It matches the Rfam family "Bacterial small subunit ribosomal RNA", at positions 346 to 793 of the family's 1533-position model. The record is from RNAcentral.
GUGCAGCAGUCGCGAAUCUUCGGCAAUGGACGCAAGUCUGACCGAGCGACGCCGCGUGCGGGAUGAAGGCCCUUGGGUUGUAAACCGCUGUCAGAGGGGAUGAAAUGCGAGAGGGCUAUCCCUCUCGUUUGACAGAGCCUCAGAGGAAGCACGGGCUAAGUGCGUGCCAGCAGCCGCGGUAACACGUACUGUGCGAACGUUAUUCGGAAUCACUGGGCUUAAAGGGUGCGUAGGCGGUUUAGUAAGUAGGGUGUGAAAUGCCAGAGCUCAACUUUGGCACGGCGCUCUAAACUGCUAAACUUGAGUGAGAUAGGGGUGUACGGAACUUCCGGUGGAGCGGUGAAAUGCGUUGAUAUCGGAAGGAACACGGUGGCGAAAGCGGUACACUGGGUCUUAACUGACGCUGAGGCACGAAAGCCAGGGUAGCGAACGGGAUUAGAUACCCUGUAG